GUCAGAUUUCAGCAAUAAAAUCAUCAAAAUGUAUAAUAGUUGUAUAGCUGGUUUGCAAUUAGUCCUGCUUCUUCAAUAAUUCGACUAAUUUGGCUCUUCCUGCAUUGAAAUUCCUAUAAUCUAUAGACAUAGGAGUGGUUGAAUUUAUGAGCUGUAUUGUUGCCUGUUUGGUUUCAAGCAACGUUGAAUAGCGAAAAGGAUUCAUAUAACCGACCCCAACUAGUUU
Molecule: unclassified non-coding RNA, 226 nt
Filed under: Hevea brasiliensis (rubber tree)
Lineage: Eukaryota; Viridiplantae; Streptophyta; Magnoliopsida; Malpighiales; Euphorbiaceae
Source: RNAcentral